This 537-nucleotide long non-coding RNA is filed under the name Sinocyclocheilus anshuiensis. Its description in RNAcentral is "lncRNA (ENSSANG00000041607.1)". Lineage: Eukaryota; Metazoa; Chordata; Actinopteri; Cypriniformes; Cyprinidae. The record is from RNAcentral.
UCCUGCCUGGAUGUGGCCUGUGGUCGGUGUGGCGGCUGCCGUGAUCAUCACGGUGGUGGUCCUGUGGUUAAAGAGAAGAAGACAGAGACGAGAAGGAGGAGAGCGAGUGCGGCACAGAUCUACGGUGACCGACAGCAAUAACGGCAGCAAGGCCUGGACCCGCCGCUCUGAGGAGAAAAGAAGCAGAUCGGGAAGAGAUAAAGACAGAAAUGGGACAAAGAAAAACAAGAAAGGAAAGGAGUCAGGAAAAAGACGUAAGGAGCCCCUCGGUGAGGACGCGAUCCGUAUGCGACCCCUGAGGAAGGAACUGGACAUCGGAAGUGACACCGAUGUGACCCAGAGCUCCAUGGAGGACAUCAACAAGACCAUCUGUGACCACAGAUCAGCAGACCAAAAACAGUUCAAACAGCCCCGCAUGCUGGCUCCCCCUAGAGGAUGGGAAAGAAACGCGGUUCCUACACCUCAAAGAGCACCAAGCAAUGUGAGUUUAAUUUUAACAAUCUGCCUGAACUUUACAAAACGUAUUAUACUACAAUG